AGAGUUUGAUCCUGGCUCAGAGCGAACGUUAGCGGCAGGCUUAACACAUGCAAGUCGAGCGAGAAAGGGGCUUCGGCUCCGAGUAAAGCGGCGGACGGGUGCGUAACACGUGGAUAAUCUGCCUCGUGGCGGGGGACAACAGUCCGAAAGGACUGCUAAUACCGCAUGUCAGGUCGGAAACUCCGGUUUCUGACGAAAAAAGAGGGCGUCCGCAAGGAGCUCUCACCACGAGAUGAGUCCGCGUCCCAUCAGCUAGUUGGCGGUGUAAUGGACCACCAAGGCUUAGACGGGUAGCUGGUCUGAGAGGAUGACCAGCCACACUGGGACUGAGACACGGCCCAGACUCCUACGGGAGGCAGCAGUGGGGAAUAUUGGACAAUGGGCGAAAGCCUGAUCCAGCCAUGCCGCGUGAGUGAUGAAGGCCUCGGUCGUAAAG
Molecule: ribosomal RNA, 436 nt
Filed under: uncultured bacterium
Lineage: Bacteria
Description: bacterial SSU rRNA
Rfam family: Bacterial small subunit ribosomal RNA
Source: RNAcentral